Molecule: signal recognition particle RNA, 313 nt
Filed under: Halorussus sp. MSC15.2
Lineage: Archaea; Methanobacteriati; Methanobacteriota; Halobacteria; Halobacteriales; Haladaptataceae
Description: Archaeal signal recognition particle RNA
Rfam family: Archaeal signal recognition particle RNA
Source: Rfam by way of RNAcentral
AGAUGGACUAGGUCGGGCAGUUAGGCCCUGCUCGUCUCCCGCACUAUGGCCUUUAGCGGGGACCGAACCCCGGAGGCGUCCGGUCAGACCGCGCCGGGCCCCGGAAGCCAACUUCGAAGCCUCGUCCUGCGGGGAUAGCGGUCUCCGGCGGGCACUCGCAGGAGUGUCGCAGUCGGAGUUAGCCGGUGGUAAUCCGCCAGGCGCGGAAGCGAGCAGCGGACCACUGGACAGCUAUCGCUCGCAGGGUUGCGGGGUGGAGGACGCGACCGGGACUCCCCGACGCGGAACGCCGGGCAAUUCCGGCUGUCCGCAU